UACGUAGGGGGCAAGCGUUGUCCGGAAUCAUUGGGCGUAAAGAGCGUGUAGGCGGUCCUGUAAGUCCGCUGUGAAAGUCAAGGGCUCAACCCUUGAAUGCCGGUGGAUACUGCAGGACUAGAGUCCGGAAGAGGCGAGUGGAAUUCCUGGUGUAGCGGUGAAAUGCGCAGAUAUCAGGAGGAACACCGAUGGCGAAGGCAGCUCGCUGGGACGGUACUGACGCUGAGACGCGAAAGCGUGGGGAGCAAAC
RNAcentral lists this ribosomal RNA (250 nucleotides) under uncultured bacterium. RNAcentral's name for it is "partial 16S ribosomal RNA". It matches the Rfam family "Bacterial small subunit ribosomal RNA", at positions 524 to 773 of the family's 1533-position model. The record is from RNAcentral.